CUCGUAGGCGGUUCAGUAAGUCGGGUGUGAAAACUUUGGGCUUAACCCAAAGCGUGCAUCCGAUACUGCUGUGACUUGAGUUCGGUAGGGGAGCGGGGAAUUCCUAGUGUAGCGGUGAAAUGCGCAGAUAUUAGGAGGAACACCGGUGGCGAAGGCGCCGCUCUGGGCCGAAACUGACGCUGAGGAGCGAAAGCAUGGGUAGCAAACA
Molecule: ribosomal RNA, 208 nt
Filed under: uncultured bacterium
Lineage: Bacteria
Description: partial 16S ribosomal RNA
Rfam family: Bacterial small subunit ribosomal RNA
Source: RNAcentral